Molecule: ribosomal RNA, 388 nt
Filed under: uncultured bacterium
Lineage: Bacteria
Description: bacterial SSU rRNA
Rfam family: Bacterial small subunit ribosomal RNA
Source: RNAcentral
GACGAACGCUGGCGGCGUGCUUAACACAUGCAAGUCGAGCGGUAAGGCCCUUUCGGGGGUACGACGAGCGGCGAACGGGUGAGUAACACGUGGGUGACCUGCCCUUAGCUCUGGGAUAAGCCUGGGAAACUGGGUCUAAUACCGGAUAUGACUCCAUGACGCAUGUUGUGGGGUGGAAAGCCUUGUGCGGCUAGGGAUGGGCCCGCGGCCUAUCAGCUUGUUGGUGGGGUGAUGGCCACCAAGGCGACGACGGGUAGCCGGCCUGAGAGGGCGACCGGCCACACUGGGACUGAGACACGGCCCAGACUCCUACGGGAGGCAGCAGUGGGGAAUCUUGCGCAAUGGGCGAAAGCCUGACGCAGCGACGCCGCGUGAGGGAUGACGGCCU